RNAcentral lists this transfer RNA (71 nucleotides) under Candidatus Taylorbacteria bacterium RIFCSPHIGHO2_01_FULL_43_47. RNAcentral describes it as "tRNA-Thr". It matches the Rfam family "tRNA". From Rfam's summary of the family: Transfer RNA (tRNA) molecules are approximately 80 nucleotides in length. Their secondary structure includes four short double-helical elements and three loops (D, anti-codon, and T loops). Further hydrogen bonds mediate the characteristic L-shaped molecular structure. tRNAs have two regions of fundamental functional importance: the anti-codon, which is responsible for specific mRNA codon recognition, and the 3' end, to which the tRNAs corresponding amino acid is attached (by aminoacyl-tRNA synthetases). tRNAs cope with the degeneracy of the genetic code in two manners: having more than one tRNA (with a specific anti-codon) for a particular amino acid; and 'wobble' base-pairing, i.e. permitting non-standard base-pairing at the 3rd anti-codon position. RNAcentral also lists the same sequence under 4 other names. Lineage: Bacteria; Candidatus Tayloriibacteriota. The record is from RNAcentral.
GCCGAUGUAGCUUAGUGGUAAAGCAGCGGUUUUGUAAACCGCCGACAGCAGUUCGAUUCUGCUCAUCGGCU